This 322-nucleotide ribosomal RNA is filed under the name uncultured eukaryote. Its description in RNAcentral is "partial 18S ribosomal RNA". It matches the Rfam family "Eukaryotic small subunit ribosomal RNA", at positions 1470 to 1796 of the family's 1831-position model. The record is from RNAcentral.
CCCUUAGAUGUUCUGGGCCGCACGCGUGCUACACUGAGUGGAUCUGCGGGUCAGGUUGCGCGAAAGCGUUUCCUAAUCUUUAAAUCCGCUCGUGAUGGGGAUUGACGGUUGCAAUUUUCUGUCAUGAACGAGGAAUACCUUGUAAGCGCGGGUCAUCAUCCCGCGCUGAAUACGUCCCUGCCCUUUGUACACACCGCCCGUCGCUCCUACCGAUUGAGUGGUCCGGUGAGGCUUUGGGAUCUGAGCGGAAAGAGCGUUUCGCUGUUUCUGCUCGGAAAACUCAGUCGAACCUUAUCAUUUAGAGGAAGGAGAAGUCGUAACA